ACUCAAAUGAAUUGACGGGGACCCGCACAAGCAGCGGAGCGUGUGGUUUAAUUCGAGGCUACGCGAAGAACCUUACCAGGGUUUGACAUGCACGUAGUAGUGAAGCGAAAGCGGAACGACCCUUCGGGGAGCGUGCACAGGUGAUGCAUGGCUGUCGUCAGCUCGUGCCGUGAGGUGUUUGGUUAAGUCCACUAACGAGCGCAACCCCUAGCGCCAGUUACAUGUGUCUGGCGCGACUGCCGGUCUUAAGCCGGAGGAAGGUGGGGAUGACGUCAAGUCAGCAUGUCCCUUAUAUCCUGGGCUACACACACGCUACAAUGGCCAGUACAGUAGGGUGCUAAGCCGUGAGGCGGAGCCAAUCCUCAAAGCUGGUCUCAGUUCGGAUCGUAGGCUGCAACCCGCCUACGUGAAGUCGGAGUUGCUAGUAACUGCAGGACAGCUAUACUGCGGUGAAUACGUUCCCGGGUCUUGUACACACCGCCCGU
Molecule: ribosomal RNA, 485 nt
Filed under: uncultured bacterium
Lineage: Bacteria
Description: partial 16S ribosomal RNA
Rfam family: Bacterial small subunit ribosomal RNA
Source: RNAcentral